RNAcentral lists this ribosomal RNA (451 nucleotides) under uncultured bacterium. RNAcentral's name for it is "partial 16S ribosomal RNA". It matches the Rfam family "Bacterial small subunit ribosomal RNA", at positions 354 to 796 of the family's 1533-position model. The record is from RNAcentral.
GUGGGGAAUAUUGGACAAUGGGGGGAACCCUGAUCCAGCCAUGCCGCGUGUGUGAAGAAGGCCUUUUGGUUGUAAAGCACUUUAAGCGAGGAGGAGGCUUACCUGGUUAAUACCUGGGAUAAGUGGACGUUACUCGCAGAAUAAGCACCGGCUAACUCUGUGCCAGCAGCCGCGGUAAUACAGAGGGUGCAAGCGUUAAUCGGAUUUACUGGGCGUAAAGCGCGCGUAGGUGGCCAAUUAAGUCAAAUGUGAAAUCCCCGGGCUUAACUUGGGAAUUGCAUUCGAUACUGGUUGGCUAGAGUAUGGGAGAGGAUGGUAGAAUUCCAGGUGUAGCGGUGAAAUGCGUAGAGAUCUGGAGGAAUACCGAUGGCGAAGGCAGCCAUCUGGCCUAAUACUGACACUGAGGUGCGAAAGCAUGGGGAGCAAACAGGAUUAGAUACCCGAGUAGUCC